This 301-nucleotide ribosomal RNA is filed under the name uncultured bacterium. Its description in RNAcentral is "partial 16S ribosomal RNA". It matches the Rfam family "Bacterial small subunit ribosomal RNA", at positions 509 to 807 of the family's 1533-position model. The record is from RNAcentral.
CAGCCGCCGCGGUAAUACGUAGGUGGCAAGCGUUGUCCGGAAUUAUUGGGCGUAAAGGGCUCGCAGGCGGUUUCUUAAGUCUGAUGUGAAAGCCCCCGGCUCAACCGGGGAGGGUCAUUGGAAACUGGGAAACUUGAGUGCAGAAGAGGAGAGUGGAAUUCCACAUGUAGCGGUGAAAUGCGUAGAGAUGUGGAGGAACACCAGUGGCGAAGGCGACUCUCUGGUCUGUAACUGACGCUGAGGAGCGAAAGCGUGGGGAGCAAACAGGAUUAGAUACCCCUGUAGUCCCUGUCUCUUAUAC